Molecule: ribosomal RNA, 459 nt
Filed under: uncultured bacterium
Lineage: Bacteria
Description: partial 16S ribosomal RNA
Rfam family: Bacterial small subunit ribosomal RNA
Source: RNAcentral
CCUACGGGAGGCAGCAGUGAGGAAUAUUGGUCAAUGGGCGCGAGCCUGAACCAGCCAAGUCGCGUGAGGGAAGACGGUCCUAUGGAUUGUAAACCUCUUUUGUCGGGGAGCAAAAGACGCCACGCGUGGGGUUCUGAAUGUACCGGAAGAAAAAGCACCGGCUAACUCCGUGCCAGCAGCCGCGGUAAUACGGAGGAUGCGGGCGUUAUCCGGAUUUAUUGGGUUUAAAGGGUGCGCAGGCGGAAGAUCAAGUUAGCGGUAAAAUUGAGGGGCUCAACCUCUCCGAGCAGUGGAAACUGGUGUGCUUGAGUGAGUGGGAAGUAGGCGGAAUGCGUGGUGUAGCGGUGAAAUGCAUAGAUAUGACGCAGAACCCCGAUUGCGAAGGCAGCAUGCCGGAGCUGAACUGACGCUGAUGCACGAAAGUGUGGGUAGCGAACAGGAUUAGAUACCCCUGUAGUC